AGCAUUAUACAGCGAAACUGCGAAUGGCUCAUUAUAUAAGUUAUCGUUUAUUUGAUAGUACCUUACUACUUGGAUAACCGUGGUAAUUCUAGAGCUAAUACAUGCUAAAAAUCCCGACUUCGGAAGGGAUGUAUUUAUUAGAUUAAAAACCAAUGCCCUCUGGGCUCCUUGGUGAUUCAUAAUAACUUUUCGAAUCGCAUGGCCUUGCGCCGGCGAUGGUUCAUUCAAAUUUCUUCCCUAUCAACUUUCGAUGUUUGGGUAUUGGCCAAACAUGGUCGCAACGGGUAACGGAGGGUUAGGGCUCGACCCCGGAGAAGGAGCCUGAGAAACGGCUACUACAUCCAAGGAAGGCAGCAGGCGCGCAAAUUACCCAAUCCCGAUUCGGGGAGGUAGUGACAAUAAAUACUGAUACAGGGCUCUUUUGGGUCUUGUAAUUGGAAUGAGUACAAUUUAAAUCCCUUAACGAGGAACAAUUGGAGGGCAAGUCUGGUGCCAGCAGCCGCGGUAAUUCCAGCUCCAAUAGCGUAUAUUAAAGUUGUUGUGGUUAAAAAGCUCGUAGUUGAACCUUGGGCCUGGCUGGCCGGUCCGCCUCACCGCGUGUACUGGUCCGGCCGGGCCUUUCCCUCUGUGGAACCUCAUGCCCUUCACUGGGUGUGGCGGGGAAACAGGACUUUUACUUUGAAAAAAUUAGAGUGCUCCAGGCAGGCCUAUGCUCGAAUACAUUAGCAUGGAAUAAUGAAAUAGGACGUGUGGUUCUAUUUUGUUGGUUUCUAGGACCGCCGUAAUGAUUAAUAGGGACAGUCGGGGGCAUCAGUAUUCAAUUGUCAGAGGUGAAAUUCUUGGAUUUAUUGAAGACUAACUACUGCG
This 867-nucleotide ribosomal RNA is filed under the name Samsoniella haniana. RNAcentral's name for it is "SSU rRNA". It matches the Rfam family "Eukaryotic small subunit ribosomal RNA", at positions 68 to 947 of the family's 1831-position model. Lineage: Eukaryota; Fungi; Ascomycota; Sordariomycetes; Hypocreales; Cordycipitaceae. The record is from RNAcentral.